RNAcentral lists this long non-coding RNA (822 nucleotides) under Mus musculus (house mouse). RNAcentral's name for it is "long non-coding RNA chr16:5813120-5813942". Lineage: Eukaryota; Metazoa; Chordata; Mammalia; Rodentia; Muridae. The record is from RNAcentral.
ACUUAUCUUUCCAGAACCAUGUUCCUGUCUUGGUCCUGGUCAUGAACAAACUAUAGGGCCUCUCUUUAUCUAUAUAGAGACAAGACCCACACUAUAGAGGUGUUCUACUUUGUAGCCUAGAAGAAGCAACACUUGCAUCAAGAGGCCAUGAAAGCCCUGUCUGAGAGGCUCACUGGUUUCUGCUUCAGAUCUCUCUCACUACCCCAUGCUCUACUCACUCACAUUUCUCUGGAAAUGACUAAACAUAGAACAGACAUUUCCUCUUUGAGCCUUCAUUAUGAAGGCUCUAGAGUCAGAUGAAUCUAUUAACUUGUCUGGUGAUAGGAGUGUUGGCUGUGGUCAUCAUGGUGAGGAGAGAAAAGACCUUACUCUCUCCCUUCUUGCCCUGUAUCACCACCAGCUUCAAGCUUGAAGUGGCUGCCUUGUCUCCUCUUAGGCAGACUUAACCGCUACAUGUGGACACUCAACUUCUACCUUCUUAGCUCCCUUGCUGAUGUCACUCUGUAACAUAUGCACAGUGACAUCUUUGGCCUUCCCCAGUUGUGAUACCCUGAUAGCAAGGUCAGGCAGGGAUACUGAGUCCUUGUGCUCAUGGGAUAAGGUCUAACUUCAGAAGCUGUAAGCAAGGUUGAGGGACAAAAGUCCGCUAUUAUGCAAGUCUCGGGUCUUAAAGGCAGAGGGAUCGUUGUGAUGAUUUGUUUCAGUUGUCAUCUUGACACAAUCUAGACUCACCUAGGAGGGAAGUCUCAGUGAGGGAUUGUCUAGAUUAGGCGGGUCUGUGAGGAUGUCUUUAGAAUUAUAUUGAAUAUAUUAAUUGAAGGG